GGGGGGGGCUCUGUGACGCGGGCGCGCGCGCAACACAGGAAGUGACGCCUUCCCCUCCCUCCGCCUCCUCCCCCCCUCUCCACGCCCGAACUCCCCUCAACGGCCUCGCGCGCGUGCUCAGUUAACGGCUCUUUGAGGGGGCAAAGCCAAAGGGAGUCGCCGGAUUGAGCCGUUAGGGGUGAGGGGAGGAGUCUCCGGAUUGCGCGCGCAAUUUCCCCCUCGACCAUGAAGUUGGGAGGACCGAACGAUAGAACGGCCUCAUUUAAAAAAAAAAGCCUUUUGGCGUCCAUUUUGAAUAGGCGCCAAACUGAGGAAGGGUGAAGAAGAGCAAGCGGUGGGGAGACGUUGCUAGGCUGGGGCGAGAUGAGGUCGCUCUGACUGGAAGCCCCGAAGCCACCUGUCUAGGGGUAGGUGGUGAAAGGAGGACAUGUCUAGUCAGGCUGGUAGACUCCCGGAAUAGCUGAAUAAUGUUUACAUGUCUGAAUUGUGUGCUCACCGGAGGAAGACUUAAAUGACCUCAGCAGCAAGAGCUUGCUAUUUGAAUGAUGGCAGAGAAAGAGAGAGAGAGAGAGAGAGUCAUAUCCUUGCAACAGAAGCACUAGCAUGUGGGAAAAACAACAAAUCAGCAUUUCUGAGUGGCAGGAUUACAAUCUGGGAACAGUGCUAAUUGUAAAUCUCUGGCUGCAUGUGGCUCCAUAUGGAGAAGGGAGAGAAAAAGGUAGCCACAAUUAAGCCAUGGGAGUUUGCAAGAUCCAUGGAAUGCACUGGGAUGUUGACAAGGCAGGCGGGAGCUUUGCCCCGGGAAAAGGUCCAGGCAUCACAAGAGGGAGCAGUUUCAACCCCUUCCAUCUCCAGAUCAGACAGAAGGAAAGCCUCCUCCUCGAGGCAUCAAGAGAUGCCUGGCUGGGAGAAAACAGACAGGGAACAGCUGAAGGAGAGUCUUGCCAAGAAGCAGCUUGUGAAGGAGCCAGGGUAACAGGAGAGCUUGCAACGCUACACUUUUAAUUAAGGUUUUGCACCAGAGGCCAAACUUGAGGCCAGUGGAACCAAGUGGUUCUGGAGAGAAGCUGACAAGCAUCAAAAGCAGACGAACCCGUCCAGUAUCUAUUUUCCAAGCCCAGUGACGUGGAAAAAGUAAUUUAUUAGCAGCAGUAGUGAAAAUGGUUUAAUGAUAAUUCUUCGUUGGCUUACUGGAGGAGGAGUUUGGGUGUCUGAAAGAACCCAGUGAUCAGGUGCAAGCAAUCCGGGAGAAGAAACAGCAACCCACCCAUGUGCUUAAAUCCAGCUUUACGAAAGGUCUGUUGGACUCUGAAACUAAGAAUCUUAACCCCACUUCCCAUCCUCUUUCCUUCCCAUCCAUUUUCCUUUUGUGUUGCAUCUUUCAGACUGGAAAUCUGUGAUCAGGGAUUUUUUUUCCCUUUCUCAGAUUUGUAAAAUGCUCCAAAAUGUCUUAAAUGAAUAAAUGCCUUCUCUUGUCAUGCUCCAACUGUUGGCAGGAUACAGGUUUGGUGUGACCGAGAUCUUACAUCAUCUUACUCUCCCUUUUUGAAGAAAAAAACAAAAUCUAGAAUCUCCUCACCUUCCAGCAUAUUUUAAAUGAAUGAAGUCAUAAAAGAUGUUAGCUGUCCUUGGCGAUACGGAAACUCUUUCUUAAGGGAAGAGCCUUCCGGGAUCAUCUCAAGGUCCACCUAAUCUGACGUGAUUUACAAAGAUCCAGAGACCAGCAGCACAGCUGAUGCUUUCAUGCUCUCCUGACACGCGCUCUCUGCUGAACCCCACGUUUUGAGUUUCCGGUGACAUUUACAGACAUCCAGAACAGUUUUAUUGUUACAGACUUUUUCCUAAAUAUAUCUCUGAGGGACAUCCAAGCACUGUUUACACAGGGUUCUGUGGAGGCCCCAAAUUAUUUUGGAAACUGGGUCUGUGGACUGUUGGUGCUUUAGCAUUACACCAAAGUGCAAGAGGCAAAAUUUCCCUUUUGCUGCAUUAGAUGAACCCCCUGAGUGUUUCCAGGGGGUAGCCACAUUAAUCUGUCAAAAGCCUGAACAGCCAAGAACCUUACUGCCCUUUCAACGCUAACGAGUUUUAUUUGGCCAAAGUUCUGGUGGGCUGUUGCCCAUUUCAUCACGAGUAUCUGCUGAAGCAGGCUGCCGCCGCCCAUCAAACCUUCUGCCAGACAAAACUUACUAGUCUUUCUAAUGUGAUAAGAGUCUUUCUUUUCAGUUGUUGCUUUCUUUUUUCCCCCAAUACAACAGUGGGACAGGAUUUUGAAGACGGUCUGUUUGGGGCAAGAGGGGAGGGGAGACCCUAGGUCAAUGGCAGGGACUCUGCUUUCUACACAGAAGGCUUGAAGUUCAGGCCUCCACAUUUCCAGCUGGAGGAUCAGGACUCAACAGGAAGGAUGGGAAAGUGGGCAGUGAUCCUAAAAAGCCACUGCCAAUGAAGUCUGGGGACUGCCAAGUCAGCGGGGUGAUAAAUCUGCUCCAGAUUUAAAUCCAAAGUUUGAAGGAACUAUGUGAACUGCCCAGCCUAUUUUGGGAAGCCAUGUUCAGCACCCUGGAGAGCUCUUUGAAAGUUGAGAUGUACCUCCAUCAGAUAUGAACUGCUCCACUAGUACCAACCAGAGCCACAGACUUCUGCUGGCUGCUGCUGGUCAGAGCUGACAAUAUUAGCUUAGAUGGGUAGUUGUGGAGGAAAGCUUGCAAUGAAAAAAUGCUUCCUACCUGGCACCAGAGCUAUUUAGAAUGGCUGAAACAUCCUCCCUCUUGAACUUGAAGGACUAAGUGAGUCCAUCAUUUGCCCGUUUGCCUUGUUUUUCUCUGUGUGUGUUUUAACUGGGGGAGGGGGGGAGAAACUGCUGAUAACAGAUACAGUGGCCAUAUCCUUCUUUGUCUGGGUGUGGGCUGAAAGCAAAAGCCUUCUCUGUUUAUCUCAGAAGGGCACUAUCAAGACGAGCAGGAAGAAAUUAGACAGUGGAAGACAAAAAUAUAUUCAAAGGGUAGAAUUAUGUAUGCAUAAUUGCGCUGCUCUCUGGGGUGCCUGGAUGAACACAUGCCUUCACUUUGGGAAGUCUCUUUCCCCGAACCAACUUAUUCUAAUGAAGCGAAGGGGAAGCUGCCCGGAGGACUGCAGAG
Molecule: non-coding RNA, 3134 nt
Organism: Pogona vitticeps (central bearded dragon)
Lineage: Eukaryota; Metazoa; Chordata; Lepidosauria; Squamata; Agamidae
Source: RefSeq, a predicted model, not a curated record